UACGGGGGGGGCAAGCGUUGUUCGGAAUUACUGGGCGUAAAGGGCUCGUAGGUGGCCAACUAAGUCAGACGUGAAAUCCCCGGGCUCAACCUGGGAACUGCAUCUGUGACUGCAUCGCUGGAGUGCGGCAGAGGGGGAUGGAAUUCCGCGUGUAGCAGUGAAAUGCGUAGAUAUGCGGAGGAACACCGAUGGCGAAGGCAAUCCCCUGGGCCUGCACUGACGCUCAUGCACGAAAGCGUGGGGAGCAAACAGG
RNAcentral lists this ribosomal RNA (253 nucleotides) under uncultured bacterium. RNAcentral's name for it is "partial 16S ribosomal RNA". It matches the Rfam family "Bacterial small subunit ribosomal RNA", at positions 524 to 776 of the family's 1533-position model. The record is from RNAcentral.